CCACAUCUUUUUCUCAGCCUGUCUUCCCGUGCCUUAACAUUUUCUAAAACUGGAGAAGACAAAGGGAAAAAGUUCGAAGGGAGCAGAGUUUGGGCUCAUGCCCUGUUUCCUUGAGCUGUCCUCUGUCAUUAAAGACGUGUCCUUCCAAAAGAAAGGCAUCUGUUUCCAGCCCACGCAGACCUAAACUUUUUCUCAUCACGUGCCUGACCAGAGCCAGUCGGCAGCCAUGUAAUGUGAUCACCAGGGCCAGCCUCCUGACCCACCCAAGCUGAGCCGGGUGACAAUAAGGUUACCCUGUAGAGCUACGCAGCAGCCACACACACAAAAAAAAAACCCAGAAGCACUACAGGCUGGACCUGUGGCUUGGAGACAGGGAACAGCCCUCUGCAGAGAUGACAGGAGACAUGGAAAGCCCAAGACAUCAUGGGAAGUCCAACCAGGCAUCUUCAGAGAUUUUGGGGUGCUUCUGGCUACUUUUGGCAGACCCAGUGGGAGAAACUGCUGUCUACAUUUGAAGGCAACGAGUGGAUGCUGUUCCUUAUAGGUGAGGAUCCAGGCUGAGGGCUGUGGGUUGGGCUCCACACUUGUUCUUUCCCCAUACUAGUUUAUUAUAAUUUAUUGUUGUUGUUUUAUUAUCAUUAUUAUAUUUACUUCAUGUGCAUGUGAAGGAGGCAUGAGCAUCCCAGAGCAUGCAUGUGGUGGUCAGAGGAUAAUUGCAGAAGUUGGUUCUUGCCUUCUACCAUGUGGUACUGGGAACUGAACUCAGGUUUCAAGCUUAUUGCAAGGCUUUACCUGCUUGUGAGCUCAAUCUGCUGUUUGUUGUGGUUUUUGAGACAGGGUCUCAUUAUGUAGUCCUGGCUAUCCUGGAACUCUCAGAGAUCCUCCUGCCUCUGCUUCCUGAGUGUUAUGUUUACAGUUCUACUACCUGCCCAACCAGCUGUUUUUAACCAAGGUUUUUGCUGAAUACUUGUAGCCCACUGCCCUGUGAGCAAGGGCUUAAUAUUUCAAAGUGGCAGCUAUUUUCUGUCAUGGGAAGGACUCCUUAGGUCAUCUCCUACUCACAGAGAGUUAGGCUACUCUAAAUGUUUCCUGUGAUUUAAAAAAUACAAUCUAUUUCCUGUAUGUGUUCAUGUGUAUGCCCGAGUCUACGUACGUGCACCAUGCUCAUAUAGGAACUGGGAGGUCAGAGGAGGGUAUUGGUUUUCCUUGGAGUUACAAAUGGUUGGGAGCCACCGUGUGGGUACUGGGAAUUGAACCUGGGUCCCCUGGAAGAGCAGCCAAUACUCUUAA
This is a non-coding RNA of Peromyscus maniculatus bairdii (prairie deer mouse), 1290 nucleotides long. NCBI's taxonomy places the organism in Eukaryota, Metazoa, Chordata, Mammalia, Rodentia, Cricetidae. The record is from RefSeq and is a predicted model, not a curated record.